RNAcentral lists this unclassified non-coding RNA (913 nucleotides) under uncultured Glomerales. RNAcentral's name for it is "sequence contains 18S rRNA gene, ITS1, 5.8S rRNA gene, ITS2, 28S rRNA gene". The stretch from base 492 to 913 matches the Rfam family "Eukaryotic large subunit ribosomal RNA", at positions 1 to 418 of the family's 3401-position model. Lineage: Eukaryota; Fungi; Glomeromycota; Glomeromycetes; Glomerales; Glomeraceae. The record is from RNAcentral.
GGAAGGAUCAUUACCGAUUUAGCGAACCUGGUCGCUUUUGACCAAGGUCUCGUGAAACUUGUAUUUAAAACCCACACUUUUUAAAUAAAAAAAAUUAUCGUAUCAAUUAUGAUAAAAAAAAGAUCACUUUCAACAACGGAUCUCUUGGCUCUCGCAUCGAUGAAGAACGUAGCGAAGUGCGAUAAGUAAUGUGAAUUGCAGAAUUCCGUGAGUCAUCGAAUCUUUGAACGCAAAUUGCACUUCCUGGCAUUCCGGGAAGUAUGCCUGUUUGAGGGUCAGUUUAAAUAAAUAUCGUGGUGUUGCUUUUUGUGACGCUUCGGAAUUGGGUUAUCUUGAUCCUCUGGGGUUAAGCGACCUAAAAUUGAUGUAUCUCUGUGCAUCUCGGACGUACAUAAGAAUUUUUUUUUUCCUAUCCGUUAGGGUUGCCAGAUCCUUAUUAGGUAUGAUUCACGUUGCUUGUGAAAUCUGUACCUAUAACAUAACUCAUAUUUUGACCUCAAAUCAGGUAGGAAUACCCGCUGAACUUAAGCAUAUCAAUAAGCGGAGGAAAAGAAAAUAACAAUGAUUCCCCUAGUAACUGCGAGUGAAGAGGGACAAGCUCAAAUUUUAAAUCUGUUAGGUUUUUGCCUGACCGAGUUGUAAUUUGAAGAGGUGUUUUCCGCGUUUUUGGUCAGUCCAAGUCCUUUGGAAUGAGGCAUCAUGGAGGGUGAGAAUCCCGUUCGGCUGACCAGAUUCGUUUUACGAUACACUUUCAAAGAGUCAAGUUGUUUGGGAUUGCAGCUUAAAAUGGGAGGUAAAUUUCUCCUAAGGCUAAAUAUUGGCGAGAGACCGAUAGCGAACAAGUACCGUGAGGGAAAGAUGAAAAGUACUUUGAAAAGAGAGUUAAAUAGUACGUGAAAUUGUUGAAAGGGAA